Molecule: ribosomal RNA, 496 nt
Filed under: uncultured bacterium
Lineage: Bacteria
Description: bacterial SSU rRNA
Rfam family: Bacterial small subunit ribosomal RNA
Source: RNAcentral
ACUCAAAUGAAUAGACGGGGGCCCGCACAAGCAGUGGAGUAUGUGGUUUAAUUCGAAGCAACGCGAAGAACCUUACCGGGGCUUGACAUCAUUAUGAAUAGCAUGGAAACAUGUGAAACCUUCGGGCAUAAUGACAGGUGGUGCAUGGUUGUCGUCAGCUCGUGUCGUGAGAUGUUGGGUUAAGUCCCGCAACGAGCGCAACCCCUAUUGUCAGUUGCUAACAUUCAGUUGAGCACUCUGGCAAGACUGCCGGUGACAAAUCGGAGGAAGGUGGGGACGACGUCAAAUCAUCAUGCCCCUUAUGUUCCGGGCUACACACGUACUACAAUGGCCGUCUAACAACGGGUAGCGAAGCCGCGAGGCGGAGCCAAUCCCCAAAAACGGUCUCAGUUCGGAUUGCAGGCUGCAACUCGCCUGCAUGAAGUCGGAAUUGCUAGUAAUCGCGAAUCAGCAUGUCGCGGUGAAUACGUUCCCGGGCCUUGUACACACCGCCCGU